This 72-nucleotide transfer RNA is filed under the name Marmota monax (woodchuck). It matches the Rfam family "tRNA". Rfam says of the family: Transfer RNA (tRNA) molecules are approximately 80 nucleotides in length. Their secondary structure includes four short double-helical elements and three loops (D, anti-codon, and T loops). Lineage: Eukaryota; Metazoa; Chordata; Mammalia; Rodentia; Sciuridae. The record is from Rfam by way of RNAcentral.
UGGGAUGUAGCUCAGUGAUAGAGCACUUUCCUGCCAUGCAUGAAGCCUUGGGUUCAAUCCCCAGUAUCACAA